Long non-coding RNA from Leptidea sinapis, 538 nucleotides. RefSeq lists it as uncharacterized. The transcript has 3 exons. NCBI's taxonomy places the organism in Eukaryota, Metazoa, Arthropoda, Insecta, Lepidoptera, Pieridae. The record is from RefSeq and is a predicted model, not a curated record.
UAGAUUAUUUGUUUAUGAUGUAAAUCAACCAUAGUGCCAGAUAGAGCUGCAUAGCUCUUUUUUAACCUGUUAUGACUAGCUAAUACUUCCAGGAGUUCAGCUAAACUGUCCGCAAAACACGAUUGAAGUAUAUCACAGCGAACCACUUGUGUACUGAACGUAAAAUCAAGUGUGUGGUUCGAAGGACCAAAACUGAGACGUACACAGUAUCAAGAAAACAAACAGUUUGUUGCAAUGGUUGGCAGUAUAAUAACAAAAACGACAGCUGUUCUCCUCUCUGCAGCAACGGAUGCGUCGGAGGCAAAUGUAUCGCCAAAGAUACUUGCAUAUGCGAUCUACCGCUCAUCCUCAACCCCGAAAACAAUACAUGCGUCAAACAAUGCACACCUCCAUGCAUGAAUAGCGAUUGCGUCAACAAUACAUGCAUAUGCAAACAAGGUUAUACUAAAUAUAAUACAACUCAUUGCUAUUCUUGCGAUGAUGGAUUUGAAAUAGAUACAAACUUUACUUGUAAACCAAAAUGCGAUAAAUGCGCUAA